CGACGAGAAUUUGCAAGAAUCCAAAUGCAACGAGGACAAAAAACUGGACGAGGACAAGAAGGAGCUGAAAUCAAUUACUAGGUCAAGGUCUAGGUAACAAAGGGGCUGGGAGGCCGUUAACGAAUGCCACUAAUUAAGAGGAACGGCGUGACGGCGUUGCAAAGGGAGGGAGGGGGGAGCGAGGCUUGCAGGUUUGCAUUGCAAAAGGGGAGGGAAGAGGGUUGCAGAGUUGCUUGCAAAGGUUGCAAUGCAAAAGGGAAGGAGGUUGCAAAGCUGAAUGCAAAGGUUGCAUUGCAAAAGGGGAGGAGGUUGCAGAGCAGAAUGCAAAGGUUGCAAUGCAAAAGGGGAGGGAAGGAGGUUGCAAAGCUGAAUGCAAAGGUUGCAAUGCAAAAGGGAAGGAGGUUGCAAAGCUGAAUGCAAAGGUUGCAUUGCAAAAGGGGAGGGAAGAGGGUUGCAAAGCUGCUUGCAAAGGUUGCAUUGCAAAAGGGGAGGAAAGGAGGUUGCAAAGCUGAAUGCAAAGGGGUUGCAUUGCAAAAGGGGAAGAAAGGAAGUUGCAAAGCAACUUUGCAACGACUUGCAUUGCAAAAAGGGGUUGGAAGGAGGUUGCAAAGCUGAAUGCAAAGGGGUUGCAAUGCAAAAGGGGAGGAAAGGAGGUUGCAAAGCUGAAUGCAAAGGUUGCAAUGCAAAAGGGAAGGAGGUUGCAAAGCUGAAUGCAAAGGUUGCAGUGCAAAAGGGGAGGAAAGGAGGUUGCAGAGCUGCUUGCAAAGGUUGCAAUGCAAAAGGGGAGGAAAGGAGGUUGCAGAGUUGCUUGCAAAGGUUGCAUUGCAAAAGGGGAGGAGGUUGCAAAGCUGAAUGCAAAGGGGUUGCAAUGCAAAAAGGGAGGAAAGGAGGUUGCAAAGCUGCUUGCAAAGGUUGCAAUGCAGAAGGGGAAGAAAGGAAGUUGCAAAGCAGCUUUGCAACGACUUGCAUUGCAAAAAGGGGGAGGAAAGGAGGUUGCAGAGCUGCUUGCAAAGGUUGCAUUGCAAAAAAGGGGGACGCAAGGAGGUUGCAAAGCAGCUGAGCACGAAAUGCGGGAGUUAAUUAAAAAGCAGCUCGUUUGCAUCCCUCAGCAAUAACGACGACGAAGAUUUGACCCCGGAACAAAAAGCCGAAAGGGAAAAAGAAAGGAGGAUGGCCAACAACGCCAGGGAAAGGUUGAGGGUG
Phasianus colchicus (ring-necked pheasant) is the source of this 1203-nucleotide non-coding RNA. The record is from RefSeq and is a predicted model, not a curated record. Lineage: Eukaryota; Metazoa; Chordata; Aves; Galliformes; Phasianidae.